GGAUUUUGGAAGUGGUAAAAAGGUUAGCGUUUAAGUUUUUUGGACUGCUCAGAACGAACGCUGGCGGCAGGCUUAACACAUGCAAGUCGAACGCCCCGCAAGGGGAGUGGCAGACGGGUGAGUAACGCGUGGGAACAUACCCUUUCCUGCGGAAUAGCUCCGGGAAACUGGAAUUAAUACCGCAUACGCCCUACGGGGGAAAGAUUUAUCGGGGAAGGAUUGGCCCGCGUUGGAUUAGCUAGUUGGUGGGGUAAAGGCCUACCAAGGCGACGAUCCAUAGCUGGUCUGAGAGGAUGAUCAGCCACAUUGGGACUGAGACACGGCCCAAACUCCUACGGGAGGCAGCAGUGGGGAAUAUUGGACAAUGGGCGCAAGCCUGAUCCAGCCAUGCCGCGUGAGUGAUGAAGGCCUUAGGGUUGUAAAGCUCUUUCACCGGAGAAGAUAAUGACGGUAUCCGGAGAAGAAGCCCCGGCUAACUUCGUGCCAGCAGCCGCGGUAAUACGAAGGGGGCUAGCGUUGUUCGGAAUUACUGGGCGUAAAGCGCACGUAGGCGGAUAUUUAAGUCAGGGGUGAAAUCCCAGAGCUCAACUCUGGAACUGCCUUUGAUACUGGGUAUCUUGAGUAUGGAAGAGGUAAGUGGAAUUCCGAGUGUAGAGGUGAAAUUCGUAGAUAUUCGGAGGAACACCAGUGGCGAAGGCGGCUUACUGGUCCAUUACUGACGCUGAGGUCGAAAAGGACG
This 739-nucleotide ribosomal RNA is filed under the name Rhizobium sp. MRR 106. RNAcentral describes it as "bacterial SSU rRNA". It matches the Rfam family "Bacterial small subunit ribosomal RNA", at positions 1 to 764 of the family's 1533-position model. The record is from RNAcentral. Lineage: Bacteria; Pseudomonadati; Pseudomonadota; Alphaproteobacteria; Hyphomicrobiales; Rhizobiaceae.